Long non-coding RNA from Parus major (Great Tit), 5874 nucleotides. RefSeq lists it as uncharacterized. The transcript is spliced from 2 exons. NCBI's taxonomy places the organism in Eukaryota, Metazoa, Chordata, Aves, Passeriformes, Paridae. The record is from RefSeq and is a predicted model, not a curated record.
GUCCAGGCUGAAAGGGAAGAGAUAGGUUAAUAGGGAGAUGCAUAACAUUGCAAGCUAUCCAGCAUGGGAGUUGGAAAAGAGAGGGAGGGUGCCUGUUUUGUCUCCUACUCAAGGUUCUGUGGGUGUUAAAUGUUGCUGGAACCACAGCUGUGUUAAGUAAGAGUUAAAGCACCAUCCCAAGACCAGAUUUACUCUUCUCAAGAGAAAGGCUGGAAACCUUCUGCGAGACAAUACAUACAAAAAGAUUUGCAUUACCAUAAAAAACUAUUGUUGGGCUAGCAGUGUAAUCUGAACCCCAAAAAUGGACACCUUCAGCCAAAUGGAAGAUUUUUAGCCUAGAAUCACAACAGUUCUUCCCAGAAAAAUGCCCUGGGGAGCAGUAUAAAAUUCAAUUCAAUUAGAAGGUGCUUCCUUCUAAUCUAAACAAAGAAGUAAAAAGAAAGACACCACCUACCUUAUCUAUUGAUUUUGGGAAAACUACUUUGCACCUCACUGCCAAACUGAGCAUUUGCUGAUGGACAGGGUUAUUUUGUUAAAAGAUAAAUGGGAGCUUUCCUUUUAAUUGCAAAACACCAACCAAACAAAAAACCCCACAAAUAAACAUUUUUUAAAAUGUCUUGCAAAUCUUUGCCAACAUUUCAAUUUCUAUUUUUUUUUUCACAAUAGAUAACAAAGGCAUUAGUAAUUGCCAACAUUGAUUUAUCUGAAAAACAUCAUAUCAAACCAGUAGCAAACCUUACAUGGGUAAACAGAUUCUUGGAGAGGAAAAAAACAUUGAAAAUGUCCACUUGAACAGGGCUUUUGCUUGACAUAACAGUCCCAUAAGCAAAGGAGCUACAACUUCUAAAGGGGUGCAAAACUGGUUGUGUAACUGUUCUCAGAAAAUAUUUAUCAGUGAUUCACUGUCAGAGCAGAGUGAUGUGCACCUACAGGCAUCCAUCACAGGUCUGCUUCCAUAAAGACAUAAGGGAAUAGCUCUUCCUCUUCAGAGCUUGACGGUCUUUUUUAUUCCCAAUUGAUCUUCACAGUGUUAGUACAAAGAUCAGAUGCUCCUCUGUUAGUCAAGUCCUUGCUCACUGUGAGCACUGUCUCCACACAGUGAUGCAGGCUGCAAAUUCAUUAUAUAAAUCAAUUCCAGCAUGUCUAGUGGGUUACUGUGUGUAACUUCAAUACCAUCAAUAAGAAGUAGGAUCUGAUUGUUUUGGGCUUUGGAACUUUCAAAUUAAAGGCCAGCUACCUUCAGUUCCUUCAAUUUGGAGUAGAUAAGGAGUUACUUGUAAGUAUUUGGAAAAUAACAAGGAGAGGAGUAGCAGCUACCAUGGAUUCAUCAGGUAUAAAUUAUAUCUAGUAGAAAUUGCAAUCAGAUUUAUUUUUAUGAUAGACUAACAAGACUCAUAAAAAGCAAAAAGUUGUAGAUAUCGUCAGAUAUGGGGACUUGAGUGAGAUUUUUGUCAUCAUGCAUGUUCGUAAAGAAACUAACUGAAACCCAUACAUGCCCAGUACAAAUCUGGUUUCAUAGAGUUUCAGCACAGAAAGGUGGCUACAGGAGUCUAUCCAAGUUUUUUCAAUGUUUCACUAACAAUGCAGAUGAUGGAAUAAAAAAUGCACGUCUGAAGGUUACUGAUAGUGCAAAACUGGGAUGGCCACAGUUACAAUGAAGGAUGGAUUUCAAUUUCAAAACAAACUUGACAACCAGAGCAAUGUUUUCAGGACUGCAACUCAAUAGGGACCAGCACAAAGUCGGACACUAAGGUAUGAACAAUCAGACACACAUGUUGAGUAGAGGAUGGUGAGCAGCUGGUUUUCCCAACGGGAUUUGCAAAGUAAAAAGAAUCACCUUCCAUAACCUGCCAUACUUUGCACCUGUUGUCUCUACAACCCCACAUAUAUAUACAGCUACAUACACACCCCCAUACCAGCCACUGUGAGAAAAUCAACUCUAUUCCUGCCAAAACCAGCACACACUUAAGUGUUAAAGGACUUAUUAUCAGACCACACUGUAACGCAAAAAAAAAAAAAAAAAAAAAAAAAAAAAAAAAAAGCCCAUGAUUGAGCAGAGGCUAGGCUAGCUGCAGCCACAUUAAACACUAAAACAACCCAAAUACUGUUUAACUACAUGGAACUUACAAAAUUCUUGGGCAAAUUCUUCUUGUGAAAGAUGGAUGAGACAUCGGCUCACCCAAACACUAUCUAUCCAAUAGUCAUUGACAUUUAUCCCAUAAUACUUGACAUCUGUCCUCUAUUUGUUGACAUUCUUCCCACAUUCAUUGAAAAUAGUUGUAAAAGGGGAUGUUGUUGUAGAGGAAGGAAGAGUUGAACUCUCAGAACUGAACAGCAGAAGUGUGAUUGAGAAGGGGAUGGAUUAAAUACUGGACAGAUAGUUUGCAUAGAUGGAAGAAGUCAGAGUGAUAAGGGUUUACAGAGGGAAUCCUCUUGAAUUUGUGUGUGGAAGCAGCACUUCAGUUCUCCAGCUUAAUGCUGAGUUUUAACAAGCACUUGCAGUGCCCUGCAUAAGCAGAGCCUCAACAUUGUGAGUCCCUCACUGCUAUGGGUACCCAGUCCUAUCUGUGCCGACAGCUGCUCAUGGGAAGAGAGAGCCAGGCAGAUCUGAAACACCAGGGAAUCCUUUCCAGGUUAAUUCCAUGGUGUUACGUGACUGCAUGCUCUAUCAGUGAGAAAGCCAGCUGCCUCCUUGGCGGCUGUACUGCACGAGGGAUAGCUGGGGGAGUGUGAUGGCAUGUGAUAGGAGCAGGUUUAGUUAAACCAGGAACCUUUCCUCUUAUCUUUCUGAAAAACAGUUGACAAAGAGGCUUGCUGGGGUUGCCCUUCUCAAAAAAAACCCCACCAAAAUUAGUCUCUGAAGCAAAAUGCUUCCAAGAUAUAGUCUACUCUAGUAAACAUCCCUUUAACUCUCUAGACACUAGUUCCAGCUAAUUGCAGCUACUUUCCUUAGAGCUGCCAGCCUGUUUGUAAGGAAGGCACAGAGAGCUGGCCAGCAGAAAUGUGAAUUAUUAAUGUUCUUGCUGAAAGCAUGAGUCUUGUCUUGUCACUAGAGCCUUGCUUGAUUUAAUGGAUCUGCAGAGACAGUUUCUGUAGUAACCCAGAACCUUGCCCAGCAAAAUGUCACCCAGCUAACACAGAACGGUAAUAAAUAUCUGUCUGGGUAGCUGAAGAUGACACAGAUGUGACAGAGUAAAAUAUAUCUGAGUUUUGAGUGCUCCAGUCUCUCAAGACCGACCAAGAUGUCAUUUCAGAAGGUGAGCCAGUGGCAUGUCAACUCAGGGACCAGUAACAAUCUCCAGCAUGGGGUUUCUAAAGAUUACACAAACUUUCCUGGGAAGGCAGCAAGUCUUUAGCACCAGGAACACAAGGAAAAAAAGCCUGGGUCAGACUUUUAGUGGUAGCCCACACAGUUAAAGUCAGUGUAAAUAAAUAUGUGCUUCACAAAACUUACUGUCACAUCUUUGGGCGCCAUGUCCAGAUACCAAAUACUGAGUUUGAUAAUACUGUCCAAAAUAUUUCAGAGAUCUUUUAAUUGCCAUGGUAUUUAGUAUAGAUCGACAAAGACAGGAAUACAUUGAUUCAAGAGUUUCUUUGCUAUCUAUCCUUAGUCUUUGAUCUUGGCUCAUUACUGUUUGAGGUCUGUCUGCCUUCCUGUAAAGAUGAACCCAUCACAAUGAAAAUGUUACAGAGAUUACAAGCUGCCAGGACUAUCUUGAAAAGCUUUGAAAGGCAAUACAGGUUGGUACAUUGUCUAGACACACUAAACAUUUUCCACUAUGUGUCUAUUUGAACUUUUCCUAAUUAUCAACCCAUCUUUUACUAAAUAUGUUUAUCAUGUCUUAAGUAUUUUUGAGGAUAUGAAGCCCAAAACAUAUUAAUAAAGUUACAAUACCUAGAAUUUUGAAAAUUAAAGAAAUGUUAGUAGAUGGUUUCUUCAUCUGCAUCUCCAAUGUAGCUGUAACUGCAUUACAUCUCCAGAUGCAUCUCCAACUCAGCUGUACUCACCGGAAAAGUAAACUGCAUUUUUUUGUGCUUCCACAGAUCUGCCAUUCCAGCAUUUCCUACGUUUUGACUUUAUGAACAAAACUAGGCUUUCCGCAUUCAGAACAACCUAGGUGCUAAGCUCUAAACAGGAGAUAAUCCAGUUAUAAAAAGCCUGUGGUUAUUUGGACAGAGGUCACCAAGGUACAACUCUAAAGGUGAAUAAAAGUGAGGGAAGCUGCCUGACACCUAUGCAACCUGGACAAGGAGUAAUCUGGCUGGCAGACAACAGAGACUCGGUUUAUAUUUAAAAGUUUUGCUGAUUUAGCAAUAGCAGGAUGUAACAACAUUCACCAGUCAAUACAGCUUUGCUGGCAAAAACCCACAGGUGUGGUUUCAACAGCAAAACAUCCUUUCAGCUCUGAUAUAAGCAAGAGAUAGUUAUUAAAACAAUUUAAAUUGGAUCCUGUAUCUAGGAUAGUGUACCAGGUCUGCAGCUACAUUGGCAAAUUUUCUAGUCAAAGCCGUUCCAGAGAUCAGCUGCUGGAGAGCACGAGACUGAUGACAGCGGAGCUGCUGUGGAAGCUUGAGCAGGGUAUAAAGCUUUGCACCCUCACCCUCUGGGAGGCCCACAUAGAAACACAGCCUGCUUCCUUAAGAGAAUCUUGGCUGAAGAACAAAGGACUUCAGCUCAUACACGGAGGGGAUGAAAAGCAGCAAGAACACUUCUGGGUGCCUAGAUUCCCUCCCCCACCGCCCCCCCUUCUAUAGCUAUAAAACAGUUUAAAGGAAUUUUAUAAAACUUCCUAAGAAAAUUAAUCUCAUAACAUAAACACAUAAACACAAGCAUGACUACUCUCAACUGUAGAUGUUUUGGGAUGUAAUAAAUUCUUGGAAGGUGUUUUAUCUUGAUAUGUUUUCUUAUGUAUUACUAUAAUUUCAUGGCUAACCAUCAAAACUUCCUUAAUCAUCAAUUGCUGGUGAUCCUCAAGUCAAGUGUGCUAUAUGUGGGUCUAGGUUAGAGGCUUUCUAGAGGGUUUUAUACCAGCAAAACCUAUAGCUGCAUCUAUAAAAAACCCUCAAAUGACCCAAAUAUCCAAACUUUAUCUGACAGCUAUGUCAACUGUGAUAAGAAGCAGUGAAAUACAGCUGCACCAGAGGCACUUCUAGGUGAUGCUUUUAGCAAAGCUAUGCUUUUGAUAGGAGGCUCAAUAACACAUAUAUGAAGUAUGCUUUUGUAGCCAUAGAGAAACCCACACUCUGUGCAUACUGCUGGUACAAAAAAAUUCCUGCAAUAAUAAACAUAAGUAACAUAAAUAAUAAAGAAUUCCGUAAUAAUGAUCAACUUUUCAUUAAAGAGCCCGACGAUAGACUCAAUGGGUAUUCUUGUGCCACUCUUACUGAGCUGUUUCAGAAGUCCCUUAGAGCACGGAGUGUUCCCACGACUCCUCGGCUCACGGGGGCCCCACGAUCAACCUCUCACUACCAACUUGGUGAGGUACCACCGGCUGCACAUGAAGACUGCGAAAGGCAAACUUGUGUAAUACUACACUAAAACAUGAGAUCUGCUCGGGCACGUUGGGUGUACUCGACCUCAGGAAGACUCUGCGUUCUGGAGGCAGCACACUGCUUCGCCUCAUAUCGGGCUCGGUAUUUUCCUUAUUAGUGAACAGCAAACCUGCUUUUGAGGGUGGCCUUGGACCACAUGGUAUCCUCAUCAAGGCUGUUUUAUUCCUAUUAUUGGUUUUGCUCCUGUAAUUAACAGGAACGAGCAUUCUCACUUACAAACACGUACUUUGGAGGAGGAGCUAGAUUUCCCCACCCCCACAUUUUUCCCCUAGCAGCAGAACAGUGCGUUCUGUUUUUGCUGAAUAAACUGGCUAUACGUUA